CCACGCCGCGUGGGGGAUGACGGCCUUCGGGUUGUAAACCUCUUUCGCCGGGGACGAAGCCUUCGGGUGACGGUACCUGGAUAAGAAGCACCGGCCAACUACGUGCCAGCAGCUGCGGUAAUACGUAGGGUGCGAGCGUUGUCCGGAAUUAUUGGGCGUAAAGAGCUCGUAGGCGGUGUGUCGCGUCGGCCGUGAAAACCUGUGGCUUAACCAUGGGCGUGCGGUCGAUACGGGCAUCACUUGAGUUCGGCAGGGGAGACUGGAAUUCCUGGUGUAGCGGUGAAAUGCGCAGAUAUCAGGAGGAACACCGGUGGCGAAGGCGGGUCUCUGGGCCGAUACUGACGCUGAGGAGCGAAAGCGUGGGGAGCGAACAGGAUUAGAUACCCUGGUAGUCCACGCCGUAAACGUUGGGCGCUAGGUGUGGGGACCAUUCCACGGUUUCUGUGCCGCAGCUAACGCAUUAAGCGCCCCGCCUGGGGGAGUACGGCCGCAAGCUA
RNAcentral lists this ribosomal RNA (497 nucleotides) under uncultured bacterium. Its description in RNAcentral is "bacterial SSU rRNA". It matches the Rfam family "Bacterial small subunit ribosomal RNA", at positions 392 to 896 of the family's 1533-position model. The record is from RNAcentral.